Molecule: long non-coding RNA, 1843 nt
Filed under: Canis lupus familiaris (dog)
Lineage: Eukaryota; Metazoa; Chordata; Mammalia; Carnivora; Canidae
Description: lncRNA (ENSCAFG00000053030.1)
Source: RNAcentral
GCGCUUGCAAGCCGUUCGCCAUGGUGGACGAGCUGGUGCUGCUGCUGCACGCGCUCCUGAUGCGGCACCGCGCCCUGAGCAUCGAGAACAGCCAGCUCAUGGAACAGCUGCGGCUGCUGGUGUGCGAGAGGGCCACCCUGCUGCGCCAGAUACGAAUGAUACCUUUUGACUCUCAGCCAUGAAAGAUGAGGAACUCACCAUAUGCACUAAUUCUAUUUCUCUAUCAACUUUCUAUGAUUCCUUUUUAUUUUGAAAGCUGAUGGUGAUAUGAGAUACUAUGAUACGAUAUGUCGGUGAUAUGGGAGCCCGACUCGGGACUGGAUCCCGGGUCUUCAGGAUCACGCCCUGGGAGGAAGGCAGCGCUAAACCGCUGAGUCACCCAGGUUGCCUGCUUGUUGCAAUCCCUUGUUCUGAGAGUGAGAAGCCUGGCUCCCACCAUCCUCUAUCCAUUUCCUUAACUCUUCAAUUCCAGUAUAUAUGUUCAGUGUUUCAGAAUUGCUAACUGUACUCCUAUGGCAAACGACUUUACCAACUUGAGUAGAGCACUUUUAUGUAUAGUUCCUUUUGCAUUAGUCUCACAGUAUCCACUCAUCUCCAGAGUUACUUAGGUUACUGUCUUUUCUGCACUGUCCCCUUCAGUGAAGUUGUUUCAUACUUGUAUAAUAUGGUUACAUGAUUUUGUCACACUGUAGUCCAUCCUAGGAUUUCAUACUUCAUAAAUGACUUCUAAACUUUGCAAAUGUUAAGGUACACUCUUUGUGCUGUGAAGUUAUAUGGGUUUUGACAAAUGUAUAGUGUCAUGAAUCCACAAAUACAGUAUCAUACAGAAUAGUUUCACCACCUAAAAAAUCCUCUGUGCUUCAGCCAUUAAACCAUAUUCCUCAACCCCCAUGCCCUGCAAACCUCCAGCCACUCAUCUUUAUUAUUGUCCCUAUAGUUUUGCUUUUUUCUUUUUUUUAGAAUGGCAUAUAAUUCGAAUCAUACGGCAUGUAACCAUUCUGACUGGUUUCGUUCACUUACCAAUAUGCUUUCAAGAUUUCUCCAUGUCUUUUCAUGGCUUCAUAACUCAUUUCUUUUUAUCACAGAAUAACAUUUCACUGCAUAAAAGUACCACUGUUUUAAGAUCUAUUCACCCAUUAAGGGGCAUUUUAGUUGCUUCUAGUUUUGAAUUAUUAUGAGUACAGCUACCAUGAACAUUUACAUUCAGGUUUUUGUGUGAACAUUGGUUUUCAAAUCCACUGAGUAAAUACUUGGGAGUACAAUUGCUAGAUCAUAUGGCAAAACUAUGUUUAGCUUCAUAAGAGACUGCCAAACUGUCUUCCAAAGUACCAUUUAUGGUUACCAUUCAUUUUGCAUGAAUGCAAAAUGGUACUUAUAGAGUUAUUCAUCAGCAGUUGGUGUUGUGUUUAGGUUUUAUCCAUUCUAGUGGAUGUAUAGUAGUAUCUCAUUGUAAUUUGCAUUUCCCUAAUGCAAAAUGAUGUUGAGCAUUUUCAUGUUUUUAUUUUCUUUGGUGAUGUGAUAGUCCAUUUGGAAUUAGCUUGUUUCUUAUUGUUGAGUUUUAAGAGUUCAUUAUAUACUUUGGACAAAAGUAUUUUAUCAGAUAUGUAUUAUCAGGUGGGUGUUUCGUAAAUUUUUUUUCAGUCUAUGGGUUAUCUUUCUAUAGCCUUAAUGGCAUCUUUUGCAAGCAUAAGUUUUAAGUUUUAAUAAAAUCCGGCAUCAGUUGUUUUUCAUGGAUUAUGCUUUUGGUUUGUGUCUAGAAACUCAUAAUCUCACUUAGGAUAACAUGGGUUUUCUCCUAGGCAUCCCUUUCAUUAAAAAAAAAACAAAAACAAAAAAAACAAAA